This 1053-nucleotide long non-coding RNA is filed under the name Oncorhynchus kisutch (coho salmon). Its description in RNAcentral is "lncRNA (ENSOKIG00005016779.1)". Lineage: Eukaryota; Metazoa; Chordata; Actinopteri; Salmoniformes; Salmonidae. The record is from RNAcentral.
GACAUGGACCUCCUCAUGCCCUAUAAAGCUGGUGGAAAAAUUCCCAUAUUUUUGCUAGUGGACGGAAAAUAAGGUGAGAGUUGAAUAUACACAUUGGCAAUGAAAGGAGUGCUAUGACAACAACUGAGAAAUAAUGGUGUCCCACAUGGUGUAGCCAUACACCAAGGUGAAGCUCUACCUUCCAUGCACAUUACUCUUUGUAGUUUAGCUGGUUUCUUGCUGUGUACACAUGCUAUAGGGACUGGACUUGUGCCAUCUUUCUACUUGGUUUAAUCUACAAGGUAAGGAAUGAAUGAUGUCAAAACACUAUAAUCCUUUCUGAAUUUUUUUUACAGGAAACACUAAAGGAUGAACAUUUAGGUUGUGGUGUGACUGAUACAACAAGCACUAAAGCUAAAACAUCACAGGAGACACAGUUUCCCCAUGUGAAGAGGUCUCUUCAGCAAGAGAACCAUUGUUCAGCUCUAGGGGAGAGGAGGUUGAAGUUCUAAGAGUCUUCUCUGAAGCACUGGUGCGAAACCUUUUCCCUCAGUCUCUAUGGGGACUGGCAGUCAGCCACUGUGCCUUAAAUGAGAUUGUUGCCUUAAAAGGUAAACCCCACAACAUAAGCCUAUCAGUGCCUCAGUUUUCUCUCAUAGCUCAACUUUUGAAAACGAGAAUAAAUUAGCAUCAAACAUUGUCAUUCCAUCAUGGAUAGAGGUACUGCACAUACUGUGCUACAACUAAAAUAAGGGCUCUCCUUAGAGGAAAGCUAAAACAGUGUGUCGAAACCUACUGAUAAUGGUUUGUGGCUCUGAUCACAGGAGUCAGUGAAAUGAGUUGAACAAUUACAUUUAUGGCUUAGUAAUGGUAAGGGAUUUUACUGUUGUAGAUAAAAUAUUAACUUCUAUAUUCUGCAUCUGUAACUUUAUUGGAUUAAAUGAGCCUUGAAAUGUAUCACUUUUUUUAUUGCCCGGGAGACAUGGACAGUGGUGGAUACUGGAGGUGUCCAUUAGUAUAACAGUGAAACCAGUGGAAAGUGUCACAGUAAUUCUGAGACUAAGUGUGUGGAUU